RNAcentral lists this ribosomal RNA (517 nucleotides) under uncultured bacterium. Its description in RNAcentral is "bacterial SSU rRNA". It matches the Rfam family "Bacterial small subunit ribosomal RNA", at positions 26 to 518 of the family's 1533-position model. The record is from RNAcentral.
AGGACGAACGCUGGCGGCGUGCCUAAUACAUGCAAGUCGAACGGUCUUUCUAUGGAAGCUUGCUUCACUGAGAGAUAGUGGCGAACGGGUGAGUAACACGUGGGUAACCUGCCCAUAAGAGGGGGGAUAACAUCCGGAAACGGGUGCUAAUACCGCAUAGUUUCUUGAUCGCAUGAUCGGGAAAGGAAAGACGGCCUUUGUGCUGUCGCUUAUGGAUGGACCCGCGGCGUAUUAGUUAGUUGGUGAGGUAACGGCUCACCAAGACGAUGAUACGUAGCCGACCUGAGAGGGUGAUCGGCCACAUUGGGACUGAGACACGGCCCAAACUCCUACGGGAGGCAGCAGUAGGGAAUCUUCCGCAAUGGACGAAAGUCUGACGGAGCAACGCCGCGUGAGUGAAGAAAGGUUUUCGGAUCGUAAAACUCUGUUGUCAGAGAAGAACAAGUUGGAGAGUAACUGCUCCAGCCUUGACGGUAUCUGACCAGAAAGCCACGGCUAACUACGUGCCAGCAGCCGC